UACAGAGGCCCCAAGCGUUACUGAGAAUCACUGGGUUUAAAGGGUGCGUAGGUGGCGCGUUAAGUCCGUUGUGAAAUCCCUUGGCUCAACCAAGGAACCGCUUCGGAUACUGGCGUGCUUGAGGCUAGUAGGGGUUACUGGAACUGACGGUGGAGCGGUGAAAUGCGUAGAUAUCGUCAGGAACGCCAAUGGUGAAGACAGGUAACUGGGCUAGUUCUGACACUGAGGCACGAAAGCGUGGGGAGCGAACGGG
This 253-nucleotide ribosomal RNA is filed under the name uncultured bacterium. Its description in RNAcentral is "partial 16S ribosomal RNA". It matches the Rfam family "Bacterial small subunit ribosomal RNA", at positions 524 to 776 of the family's 1533-position model. The record is from RNAcentral.